UGAGGAAUAUUGGUCAAUGGGCGAGAGCCUGAACCAGCCAAGCCGCGUGGAGGAUGAAGGCACUUCGUGUCGUAAACUCCUUUUGUCGGGGAAUAAAAGACGCCACGUGUGGCGUAUUGCAUGUACCCGAAGAAAAAGCAUCGGCUAACUCCGUGCCAGCAGCCGCGGUAAUACGGAGGAUGCGAGCGUUAUCCGGAUUUAUUGGGUUUAAAGGGUGCGUAGGCUGCGGCUUAAGUCAGCGGUGAAAGCCCGGGGCUCAACCCCGGCGAGCCGUUGAAACUGGGUCGCUCGAGUUGGUGAAAGGUAUGCGGAAUGCGCAGUGUAGCGGUGAAAUGCUUAGAUAUUGCGCAGAACUCCGAUUGCGAAGGCAGCGUACCGGCACCACACUGACGCUGAGGCACGAAAGCGUGGGUAUCGAACAGG
This 423-nucleotide ribosomal RNA is filed under the name uncultured bacterium. Its description in RNAcentral is "bacterial SSU rRNA". It matches the Rfam family "Bacterial small subunit ribosomal RNA", at positions 355 to 776 of the family's 1533-position model. The record is from RNAcentral.